GACAUGUAUUACUUUAUUUUAUUUUCCAAUUUUAUAUAUAUUAUUUGACAUGGUUGAAGAUAGUUUUGCAACUUUCCUCCCUCUGAAAAUGCCUAGGGCUUAUAAAUCGAAUAAACUGGAGGACUUAGCUAACCACACUUCAAAACUGGCACUUUGAACUUCCUUGCUUAAUAAAUUAUUGUUUCUAUGAUGAUGAUGAUGAUGAUG
RNAcentral lists this unclassified non-coding RNA (207 nucleotides) under Hevea brasiliensis (rubber tree). Lineage: Eukaryota; Viridiplantae; Streptophyta; Magnoliopsida; Malpighiales; Euphorbiaceae. The record is from RNAcentral.